GACGUUUCUCUUCCCUCCCUCUCACCCCACACGCGGCGGCGGGAAGGUAUUCCAAUUGUAUACAUGUGUUUGACUUGGACCGCUUAGUUUGGUUGAUUAAAAGCCAUAACACUUGACCAUGAAGUCUUGGUUUCGAGUCUCAUAUUUCCCUUUCGUGUCCCUUAGACUUUAAAUACUAAGAGAAGCAAGAUGGAAAAAAAAUAUAUAUGAAAUAUAAUAUGAUAAGGGCGGGCUUUCUUUUUCAUUCAUAAACAAUAACGUGUGUUAAAUUGUAGGGAAGGCCUAAUCAGCGAGGAUUACUAUAAAAUUAGUCGAAUUUCCACAACAUGAGCU
Molecule: long non-coding RNA, 333 nt
Filed under: Manihot esculenta (cassava)
Lineage: Eukaryota; Viridiplantae; Streptophyta; Magnoliopsida; Malpighiales; Euphorbiaceae
Description: long non-coding RNA (MESC_LNC011207)
Source: RNAcentral